CCUACGGGUGGCUGCAGUCGAGAAUUUUUCACAAUGGGCGAAAGCCUGAUGGAGCGACGCCGCGUGGGGGAUGAAGGGCUUCGGCUCGUAAACCCCUGUCAUUCGAGAACAAACCUCGCGAUCUAACACAUCGCGGGCUGAUAGUAUCGGAAGAGGAAGGGACGGCUAACUCUGUGCCAGCAGCCGCGGUAAUACAGAGGUCCCAAGCGUUGUUCGGAUUUACUGGGCGUAAAGGGUGCGUAGGCGGCGAGGAAAGUUCGCGGUGAAAUCUCCAG
Molecule: ribosomal RNA, 275 nt
Filed under: uncultured bacterium
Lineage: Bacteria
Description: partial 16S ribosomal RNA
Rfam family: Bacterial small subunit ribosomal RNA
Source: RNAcentral